GCCCUGUGGUUGCUGGUUGCUGUUGUGCAGGUACAGCUAUCCAGUGGAUAUAUUGGGCUAUAGUAAUCCUGUGAUUUAUGCAUGGGGGCUGUUUCUCCUUAGCAGCCGCCAUAGCCCGGUCACAGGUACAUGG
Molecule: small nucleolar RNA, 133 nt
Organism: Prolemur simus (greater bamboo lemur)
Lineage: Eukaryota; Metazoa; Chordata; Mammalia; Primates; Lemuridae
Gene: SNORA84
Product: small nucleolar RNA, H/ACA box 84
Source: Ensembl